UGCAGAGAAGGCAGCACGAAGGGCGGUGUGCGGCGGCUGCCGUUUGGCUACCAUUGGGGGCGGCGGCUGCUACGUUUUCUGCUUAUGGUUUCUUGUUUUUUCUUUUUUUUUGGGCUAGGGUUUAGUUGGGUUAGUUGGGCUGUUUUGUGUAUUAAGCUAAUAGGUUAAUAAUUUGGGCAUGGUAUUGGGUUUUUGUAAUUUGGGCAUUAAUUGGACUUUAUUUAUUUUGGUUUGGUUAUAUUUUUUUUGUUUAUGCGGGCUAGGGCCAAAAUUUGGGUUCUACAAUUUGAAUAUAACCUAAUUGUGAAACUAAAAUUAGAUCGAACUAAUCAAUAUAAA
This 339-nucleotide long non-coding RNA is filed under the name Gossypium raimondii (Peruvian cotton). Its description in RNAcentral is "long non-coding RNA (GRAI_LNC009152)". The record is from RNAcentral. Lineage: Eukaryota; Viridiplantae; Streptophyta; Magnoliopsida; Malvales; Malvaceae.